Molecule: long non-coding RNA, 1317 nt
Filed under: Helianthus annuus (common sunflower)
Lineage: Eukaryota; Viridiplantae; Streptophyta; Magnoliopsida; Asterales; Asteraceae
Description: hypothetical non coding rna
Source: RNAcentral
UUGGUGUGUGUCUGGUCGCAGGAAAACACAGGGGCGACCUAAGUUCAUCUUCAAAACCCUAAACUCUCACAAAUCUCUAAAAUUGAAGGUCAAGAUCAACUCCAAAACGAAAUCCGAGCCUAGAUUGGUGAUCUCCAUUGCAAGGGGGUCAUAAGUUUGACUCUAAACAAGCUAGGUGAGGGCUUGGAGAGGAACGGGUCAAACGGAUCAUGGAUGUGAAGAAUAUUUGCGCGGACGCAAGGAGUGAACGGGAAGUGGAUAAUUGCGUAGCUAUUAAGUAGCGGCUAAAUAAAGUAAGGUAUAAAACGGGUCUAUACGUUGACCCGAGCCAGGUACGCAUAAAGUAAGUUUAUAGUUAAAAGUGCAAUUUGGUCAAAUAAUUAGUGAAAGUCCUUCGUCGUAAAGUGAGGGACUAAAAUUGACCAAAAAGCCCUUGAUGGGAAAACCGGGCAAACGACCCUUAGAGGUUGUUUAGGAAUUUGCAUUAAGAUUACGAAAUAUAGGUAGAUACCUUAAUGUAGUAAAAUGAUGGGUGAAAGAAGAGAGUGAAAUUUAAAGUUAAUGGUAAAUCUCUCUAACGGGUCAAAAUGAAGUUUCACGCAUAACUCAACUUUUAGUUGCAUAAUGUAUGAAAGUUUUGAACAAACGAGUUAAUGGUUUUGAGAUAAUGAAUAUCUCAAGAAUUUACAGUGAUUUAAACGAAAGUGGUUUAAUGAAUCAUGAAACGGGUCAAAAGUGCUAAAAAAGGAAUUUCAAGCCAAGAACUUGAAAUUUGGAUUUUUUAAGUAGUUGAAUAUCAGGUUUUAACUCCAUAAGAUGGAGAAUUAAAUUACAAAUGCGUAGGAAAAAGAAUCGUGUAAAACGGAUAAGUAGUUAAAAAGUUAUAGCAUUUUGAAGUUGGAAUCUAGUUAAAUACUAGAGCUGGGCAAAAAUGCAGGUUUCAGUAACGAAUCUGCUGGAAAUUGGUCUUUCUCGCGCCACGCGACGGGUCACAGGGUUUGGGUCGCGAUACGCGACAGACAUCGCGCCACGCGACAAGCUGAGCAGAGUCUCUCGCGACACGCGAGAGACAUAAAAACUGGAAAAAUAUUUUUGUUAUGUUUGUUUGAUGCGUAGAACUUGUUUAAACUUAUUUUAAGCUAUCAAAACUAACUUUUAUGUUGGUUUUGAAUUUAGGUGAACCUAGUAAGCAUCCGGAUGAAGAUCAAGCUUGGAUAAGAACCGAACACAUGAUCAAACAAGCUUCCGCGUUAAUCUAAUACGUUUUUGUUUUAAGUGUACUAUGUAAAACAAUUAGUACUAUAUUUGAAUACUAUU